GACGAACGCUGGCGGCGUGCCUAAUACAUGCAAGUCGAACGAACCGCGACUAAGUGCUUGCACUAAGUCAAGGUGAGUGGCGAACGGGUGAGUAACACGUGGGUAACCUACCUCAUAGUGGGGGAUAACAGUCGGAAACGACUGCUAAUACCGCAUAGGACAUAGGAUCACAUGAUCCAGUGAGGAAAGGUGGCGCAAGCUAUCGCUAAGAGAUGGACCCGCGGUGCAUUAGCUAGUUGGUAGGGUAAAGGCCUACCAAGGCGAUGAUGCAUAGCCGACCUGAGAGGGUGAUCGGCCACAUUGGGACUGAGACACGGCCCAAACUCCUACGGGAGGCAGCAGUAGGGAAUCUUCCGCAAUGGACGCAAGUCUGACGGAGCAACGACGCGUGAGUGAAGAAGGUCUUCGGAUCGUAAAGCUCUGUUGUUAGAGAAGAACAGCGCAUAGAGUAACUGCUAUGCGUGUGACGGUAUCUAACCAGAAAGCCACGGCUAACUACGUG
This 502-nucleotide ribosomal RNA is filed under the name uncultured bacterium. RNAcentral's name for it is "partial 16S ribosomal RNA". It matches the Rfam family "Bacterial small subunit ribosomal RNA", at positions 28 to 507 of the family's 1533-position model. The record is from RNAcentral.